This is a long non-coding RNA of Orbicella faveolata, 3840 nucleotides long. NCBI's taxonomy places the organism in Eukaryota, Metazoa, Cnidaria, Anthozoa, Scleractinia, Merulinidae. The record is from RefSeq and is a predicted model, not a curated record.
UCUUUAGCUCUAAAUUACUUAAAAGCCAUGAGUCCACACACGGGGAAGGGUCUUGUAGGAGUGGGGAUACUUUGCAACAUGCUAUGGUCAGUGGUCCUAGUGCCACCUUUCAAUUGUGCCAAUAACAGCCUGGCCAAGAACAGUGAGAGAAGUUCAAAACAUUAACAUUGAAGGAUGCAGCCUUCUAUCAAAAUUCCUAGAUGACUUGCAAUCCAGCUUUUUGCAUAGCACGCCUCGUGUCCACUUUAAUGACUACCAAAACGAGAAUGUCCUUUGCAUGUUACCAAGACCUGCAUUGAGUUAUCUGUGACAAAACUAUGAACGGAGUUCCAAUGACAGGUGACAAGAUCACUUGCCAGAUAAUUUGGAAGGUUGCUCUGUAGACACACAUGCUGAAAGGUUUGGGGCUGUUACACGACUAUAAGGGCUUCCUUUUGAUGAAAUGGAGGGCUUGGUAAUGCUGGGAGUUGUUCAGUCAUUCAAUUCAGACUACUCAGAGAAAACUACAGCUUUGUGGCAACAUGUUGUACUCUGCAGUAAAGUGUCUUGAAAGGACAAAGACAAGCCCUUGCUUCUCCCUUUGCCUAGUGGCAAAUCCUAAUGAAUCCUAGGUGAUAAGACCACAUGCCACAUCCUGGAGGUGAUAGGACCACAUGCCAGAAAAUUUGGAAAGCAGCUCUGUAGACACACAUGCUGAAAGGUUUGGGGCCGUAACAUGACUAUAAGGGCUUCCUCUGGAUGGAAUGGACAGCUUGGUAAUGCUGGGAGUUGUUCCGUCAUUCAAUUCAGUCUGCUCUUAGAAAACUACAGCUUUGUAGCAGCACAUGUUGUACUCUGCAGUAAACUGUCUUGGAAGGACAAAGACAAGCCCUCGCUUCUCUCUUUGCCUAGUGGUGACUCUUUUCAGAACUUCCGAGGCAACGUAAUGGUAAUCUGGCAUCAAACCUUACAUACCCAAACAUUGUGACGCUGCAUGCCUAUAGCAUUUACCGGUACUUACAGAGCAAAUCAAGAGUUAGUCUAGAUUUGAAUGUUGUAUAACAAGAAACACAUCAGCUGCGAGGAAUAAACUACCAAUAAUAACCACAAUUCUCUCCAUGACUGACUGCAGCAGAAUUGUUUCAAAGGUCAAAUUACCAGUCUGUGCUCUUCAGAUUUACACGGUAACAUAAAACUAUUGAACGGCUUUAAACAGGCCCUCCCUUCCCAAGGUGUCAAAAAUAAACCUUUCUAGAGUGGAAGGGGGUAAGCAUCAGCAAAACAGCAAUCACUGACAAACUAAGGCGACACGGGACAUGAUAACCAUGUGCAAUAUUGCCAUAAUUAAGUAAUAUUGAUGUUCGCCAUUUAGAAACUUAUUUUGUCACUUUCCUUUUCCACAUUGUUCUGGCUGAAUUUCCAUUGCUGGCAAGCCACACCCACCCCAUAUAAGGCAUUGGGAGGUCAAAAUGCAUAAGAAACUAACAAAUUAUCUGGAAAUAUCAUGUUUGAAAUAAAUUAAAAAGUACACCCUUUAAUGAACCAAGUUAAAAAAGGCACAAGUCACCAGACUUUGUUCGUCGAGGUAGGGUGACCCUAGGGAUGAGCAACUUACUUUCGAACUGGGCAACUGCACUUUUGGUUUUGUACCAUCCAUAAUUUUCUGGUCUCAAGGGAACCUUGCAGUUGAUGAAUAUGCUUUAACACAUAUCAACACACCUCACCAGGAUGGCAUUGAUCUGUUUACAGAAGCGACUGAGUAUUGUCUCAGUUUUGAAAGGCCCACGAAGAUGUAUUCUUUCAUUUCUAGAUCUAGUAUAUCACAAGUUCUUCAAUAUAGCCUUUUAGGGAUUAGCUGAACAAAGAAAGCAAAUUAUCCCAGACACAAAUGUUUCGAAGGUUACAAAAAAAUACAAAUUCCUGAGAAAAUUUUGAAGGUUCUCUGUGGGCUUCCCAUGACUACAAAAACCUUUAAAAAAAAUUAAGGUAGCUGUAUCACAACAGCCUCACCCCCCAGGCUAAAUUUAGCGUGAGAUUUGCAUACUUAUUACAAAAUGCUGUAGUUUUAUUGGCCAAAGAACACUUAUUUUACACAAAGCAAUACAGCCUGAGCAGAAUUAACUUCCUAACCUGACCAUGUAGUAUUGCUUAUUUCCAGGCAAGGACACAAAACUAUUUCAGCUUGAUUGCUUCUUAAGGGUCUAGAUCACUUCAAAGUUUACCAAUCCACUUGCAGAAUGGCACAGAAACUACAGAAAUGCGAAAACUUAAGACAUGUCAUGUGCUGCCACCUGCUAUCAACUUCUUCCUAACAAGGGCCAGCACUUGAUGAGUACAUUAAUUUUCCUCAGUUGUUUUCAAGUCUCGGUGAAAUGUCCCAGCAGAGCCGAGAAAAUAAGGUUCAAGUUGUUUGUCAACGUAUAAAAAACUUAAAAUUUAACAAGUAUUACCUAUCCCAUUGAAAUACAAUGAACUUGUGAAAUUUUUUUGACACCUAUAUGGCACAACAAAGUUUUUGACUGGCCAGUCAUGGUUCUCCCAAUAUGCCCAACUGUAAAGUCUUCACAACAACUAGAGGUGCAUUUCAAACAGUUCUCUGACUCCCCUAUUGCCAGGUAAGCAAACAGAGAUUGGACUUCUAAUUGGCAGACACUUGCUACUUAAAUUUGUAGGCCAUUUUGUCCCAAAUGGAAAGAGAAAUUUCUCCAAUGUGGUAGCUCUAGUGGCUUUGUCAAUGCCAGACCCAUCUAGUGUCUUUGGCCAGAUCGUUGCAGCUUGCACUUCAGUCAAAAAAUGUGAGUUUUCAUUUUAAGAUUUCACUGCACAGUCACCCUAACAGACAAAAUUUCCAUUGUUAAAUCACUUAUUGCAAAAGAGCAUGAUUUCUCUUUAUUUAGACACCUAUAUCCUCUUUGUACAAAAGCAACUCAACAGAGUUGACCUGCCUCAGUGUCUGGUCUUACUAGUUCACCAACUAUUUUAACAAGUCAUCCAAUGGGGUUUCUGGCAGAUUGUUGUUUUGUUUUUUUGGGAAAACAGUUUGAACACAAAUUGAAAAGUAAAAAUUACCAAUGCAUUUCAAAGUUGAACAAUCAAGUUAGGUAGUUAUGCUGUGCAGAAAAUUGGGCUAAUUGACAGAGCAAUGAUCACUUAAUCUCUGUGAUAAACUUAAAAUUAUUUCUACCCUAUUUAUAGAAAUAUGCAGAAAAUGGACAUAUGAAGAAAAUUCAGUAUCCAAAACUGCUAACCUUUUGGCCCUCUACAGAUGACCCAGACAAAGCUCACACUGUUUAGUCUAGCUAUUUGCAAUUGCCUCACUAUUAUACAUUUUAAGUGAAUUUGAAUAAAAUGAAGACAAUGAAAUUCAGUUUAGAAUUUUUUUCCAGAUACUUUGAAAAUAGAAUAUGCAGUCUUUCAUUUGGUAACCCUCUUGAUAGUAAGAUAAUUAAAAUGCAACAGAGAUUGGCAGGUGGGCAAAUGAUAACACCCAUUGUCUUGAUGACUAGUGUACAAGAUAUCAAUGUAAAAUGCUGUGCAGCACCCCAAAGCGUACAGAAAUAACAAAUGUGGAAUGCAGAGUGUAACAAAGCUUGUUAAUUCCUCUUUGUAAUGUUCUUUCCCCACAAAACCAUUGAACUGGAUUGUUGAGAGGGAUGUUGAGUGGUCUGUUUGUAAUUUUGCCCCAAGCACCUCCCAAGAUCUUGCAGUGGAAGGGCAAAAAGGAAUAAUAAUGCAGAAGUCCCAUUUAGUUCAUGGUCAAAAUGUUUCGUACUGCUCUUGAAUUCCGCCACAUCUUCAAUCAGGAGAAGAGUCUGAGUGCUUCUUUACAUAAUUUUCAUCUCAGCAUGGACAAAUCAUCAU